UAGCUCAGUUUACCAGUGAUUGGCAUCUAUUACCUCCACAGAAGUCUCAAGCAAAUGAAUGCAGUUUGAAUUCUUCCUGAUAAUUUUCAUCACCUCUUCUGUUCCAGUGCAAUCAGUUCAGGUGAUCUACAGGCCUUUAUUUUCCCUGCUGAAGAGGUGAAGAACAGAGCAUUUCUCAGAUGGUGCAGUGAAAUACUGUGAUUUGUUGCUAUGCGACUGCAUGCCUGUAUGAGGCCUAUAGUUUUCUUCUGAGGAAGGGGUGGCAUUGAACAUAAGCACAGUGUUUUACAGGAUUGCAUGUACCUCCCUCAGUUGCCCACAACCCAGCCUCAGCAUCUGUA
Molecule: long non-coding RNA, 341 nt
Filed under: Apteryx rowi (Okarito brown kiwi)
Lineage: Eukaryota; Metazoa; Chordata; Aves; Apterygiformes; Apterygidae
Description: lncRNA (ENSARWG00000002250.1)
Source: RNAcentral